RNAcentral lists this ribosomal RNA (371 nucleotides) under uncultured organism. RNAcentral's name for it is "bacterial SSU rRNA". It matches the Rfam family "Bacterial small subunit ribosomal RNA", at positions 526 to 896 of the family's 1533-position model. The record is from RNAcentral.
CGUAGGUGGCGAGCGUUGUCCGGAAUUACUGGGUGUAAAGGGCGCGUAGGCGGGUGCCUAAGUCAGGCGUGAAAUGCCGGAGCUCAACUCCGGAACCGCGUUUGAAACUGGGCAUCUUGAGUGUCGGAGAGGGAAGCGGAAUUCCUAGUGUAGCGGUGAAAUGCGUAGAUAUUAGGAGGAACACCAGUGGCGAAGGCGGCUUCUGGACGAUAACUGACGCUGAGGCGCGAGAGCGUGGGGAGCAAACAGGAUUAGAUACCCUGGUAGUCCACGCUGUAAACGAUGGAUACUAGGUGUUGGGGGUAUUGAGCCCUCCAGUGCCGGAGUUAACACAAUAAGUAUCCCACCUGGGGAGUACGGCCGCAAGGUUG